GAAAAUUGAGAUAACAUUAAAUUACAGCGCAGGGUUGUAAAAAAACAUGGAAUUUAUUAUUACAUUUAAAAUUGUACUCUUCAGCUUAUCACAAUCAACCUCAUUUUCCAAAUUAAGAAAUUACUAAUUCAGUUAUCCAACUGUGACGUCAUUGCCCUUGGCAAACUGCAUUGUCCUUAUCCUGAAAACUAAAAAAAAAUCGGAACGACAUUCAAACUUUAUGAGCGCCAUAUCGCCCUCACACUCACCCGCACGAUGCAUCAACUGUCAACUCCCCGGGUUGUCCUUAAAAAUUGUGCCAAGUUUCGCUUCUUGGGGAAAUGGAUGGGGAAAAAGUGGAAAAAUUGGACUCGGCGAUAGCAAACGACGACUUUGGUCCUUCGGAGCAGCAGUUUUGCUUCUUUGUCACCAGCGCCAUUUGAGCCAACGAGAACGGUCUUGAAAGUUUUCGCUCUCUUUUUUUUUUGCUUGCAGCUUUUUAUUUUUCUAUGGCCUGGGGCCUGGUUGCGAAGCGGUUUAUAAUGAAAAAGCACGGAGAGAAAAUUUUAGCUCUCGUUAUCUAGCCUUGGUUCUGAAGGACUUUCGUAAAUGAUGCGAAAAUUUAGAGAUAUUUAUCAUCGCUGAAUGGGGCUAUCUAGCCCAGAAUAAAUUAAUGACCGUUGCAUUGCAAUCUUAUUUAAAUAAUCUUAUCAAAGCUGAACCCAAUCUGUCGUAAUUGAUGCAUCUGAAACAAAUGCAAUGUUCGAGGUUAGAUUACUCUUGAGUUCCAUAUUGAAAACGCAUUUGCAGCAAAUACAAAUACCUUCUAAUUGAUGUUUGCGAGCAAUUCUCUUAAGAUUGAGCAUUUUUUAUACAUUUUUUUUUUACUUUUUCAUACAAUUUUGACAGCUGUCCAUACAAAAAGUAGAAGUCAUGGCCAUGCUUGAAUUUGCUUCAAGAUAUUCAACAUUGGACCGAUGGUUGCUAAGAUUCAACCUCUGAAAGAAAAGUCAAAAUAGCGUCGAAUUUUCAGUGACGAGAACAUAAUGAAUAUCCGUUCGAUUUGCAAUGUCAAAAAAUAAAGCAUAGUGAAAUUUUCCGAUCUUUCGAAUAAAAAUAUUUUCAACUGUAACAUUUGAAAAGUCCCAAUUGUUUUUUCGACAACAUCAUUUUUUCAUGUACUUUAAGUCACGAUUUUUUCGCGAAAUUGGCAACCCUGCCAUAUAAUUUUUGACCAGAAAAAAAUGCAUUUAUGUGAAAUAAAAAGAGUGAUAAAGUACAUGAUUUUUUUUUUUUUAGUUUUCAGAACAUCUAAGAAUUGAGGAAACAAAAUCUUCGUAAAAAAAUCUUUUUUCAGUACUAUACAUUUGAGUUCACAAAAAAUCCAAAUUAUUUUUAACGAGUCUAAAUAUCAAAAAAUCAAACCAUCCACAUUAACGACCCCCGGGUCUUUUGUGGUCUCUAUUGCAAGUUUCUGCUCGAACCUACACAGAAAAAAAUAUGUAAAUUUACACAGCACGUAAUUACUGUUUCUUAUGUAAACUCACUCAAUGUAAUGUUGAGAUAUGAUGUAAAGCGCAAAAAGUCAUGGAAAUUACUCUAAUGUAAAUCUAAAUCUAAUGUAAAUCAUGAAUCUAAUGGAAACGUUGAGCAUGGAAACUCAAAUCUGAUGAAUUUCUAUCCGUGUUCGGCUUCCUGUAAAUUCCUAUUUAAUGCACCCAACUGGCAGUCGCAUGAUUGUGAUGCAUGGCGGCAUGAAAGUAUAUCAGAAUCUGCAUGAAAUCUGUCCUCAUGCAUUUUUUGCGAUAUAGGAGUAUGACAUUUUUGCCCGUUACCGACAAUUAUCGACAAUACCGACGGCUUUUUGGUUGUAUUUCACAAAAAAAACACUUAGCAGAACGAGGAUUGAACCACCAACUUCUUGGUUAUUGAUCCGACACGCUACCACCGCGCCAUGGACGCUUGAUGAAAAGUGAGUGAAAGAGCACCAACAUAUGCUUCUCUUUGGAGUGUUGCUCGGGGACGGGCCAGCUUUAUAUGUGUUGGUGAGAACUGCAGAUCGCUGAAAUUUUUACACGCGGGCAAAAAUGAUCUACGGGCUUGCUGCAAAAAAUGUUAUAAAAUAUGACAUUUUCUGCAGCAAAUCCAAUGUUGCAGAUUUUGAGAUAUAUUUUUCCUUUGGAUGCACCCAACUGGCAGUCGCAUGAUUGUGAUGCAUGGCGGCAUGAAAGUAUAUCAGAAUCUGCAUGAAAUCUGUCCUCAUGCAUUUUUUGCGAUAUAGGAGUAUGACAUUUUUGCCCGUUACCGACAAUUAUCGACAUUACCGACGGCUUUUUGGUUGUAUUUCACAAAAAAAAAACACUUAGCAGAACGAGGA
This is a long non-coding RNA of Culex pipiens pallens (northern house mosquito), 2356 nucleotides long. RefSeq lists it as uncharacterized. The record is from RefSeq and is a predicted model, not a curated record. The transcript is spliced from 2 exons. Lineage: Eukaryota; Metazoa; Arthropoda; Insecta; Diptera; Culicidae.